CCUACGGGAGGCAGCAGUGGGGGAUAUUGCACAAUGGGGGGAACCCUGAUGCAGCGACGCCGCGUGGGUGAAGAAGCGCCUCGGCGCGUAAAGCCCUGUCAGCAGGGAAGAAAAUGACGGUACCUGAAGAAGAAGCCCCGGCUAACUACGGGCCAGCAGCCGCGGUUAUACGUAGGGGGCAAGCGUUAUCCGGAUUUACUGGGUGUAAAGGGGGCGGAGACGGCGAUGGAAGCCAGGAGUGAAAGCCCGGGGCCCAACCCCGGGACUGCUCUUGGAACUGCGUGGCUGGAGUGCAGGAGGGGCAGGCGGAAUUCCUGGUGUAGCGGUGAAAUGCGGAGAUAUCAGGAGGAACACCGGUGGCGAAGGCGGCUUGCUGGACUGCAACUGACGUUGAGGCCCGAAAGCGUGGGGAGCAAACAGGAUUAGAUACCCUUGUAGUC
This 440-nucleotide ribosomal RNA is filed under the name uncultured bacterium. RNAcentral's name for it is "partial 16S ribosomal RNA". It matches the Rfam family "Bacterial small subunit ribosomal RNA", at positions 338 to 795 of the family's 1533-position model. The record is from RNAcentral.